AACGAACGCUGGCGGCGCGUCUUAAGCAUGCAAGUCGGGCGGGAUCACGGCGCUUGCGCCGUGUGAGAGCGGCGGACUGGUGAGUAAACACGUGGGCGACACGCCCCCCGGACGGGGAUAGCCGGUAGAAAAUACCAGGUAAUACCGGAUACGGCCGUACGUAUUGGAAGCGUACGGGGAAAGGAGCCUCGGCUCCGCCGGGGGAGUGGCCCGCGGCCCAUCAGCUUGCUGGCGGUGUAAGGGACCACCAGGGCUAUGACGGGUAUCCGGCCUGAGAGGGUGGACGGACACAUUGGGACUGAGAUACGGCCCAGACUCCUACGGGAGGCAGCAGCUAAGAAUAUUCCGCAAUGGGGGGAACCCUGACGGAGCGACGCCGCGUGGACGAUGGAGGCCGGAAGGUUGUAAAGUCCUUUUAUACGUGAAGAAUAAGCGGGGGAGGGAAUGCUCCCGCGGUGACCGUAGCGUAUGAAUAAGCGCCGGCUAAUUACGUGCCAGCAGCCGCGGUAACACGUAAGGCGCGAGCGUUGUUCGGAACCAUUGGGCGUAAAGGGCAUGUAGGCGGCCCGGUAAGUCGGGAGUGAAAGGCGGGGGCUCAACCCCCGGACUGCUCCCCGAUACUGUCGGGCUUGAGUCGCCGUGGCGCGGCCGGAAUUCCAGGUGUAGGGGUGAAAUCUGUAGAUAUCUGGAAGAACACCGGUGGCGAAGGCGGGCCGCGAGCGGACGACUGACGCUGAGGUGCGAAGGUGCGGGGAGCGAACAGGAUUAGAUACCCUGGUAGUCCGCAUAGUAAACGAUGCGCGCUGGGCGUCCGGGCAUGAGUCCGGGUGCCGAAGCAAACGCGGUAAGCGCGCCGCCUGGGGAGUAUGCCCGCAAGGGUGAAACUCAAAGGAAUUGACGGGGGCCCGCACAAGCGGUGGAGCAUGUGGUUUAAUUCGAUGGUACGCGAGGAACCUUACCUGGGUUUGACAUACAGGGGGACUAUGCGGAGACGCAUAGGCGCGGCAACGCGCCCCUGAACAGGUGCUGCAUGGCUGUCGUCAGCUCGUGCCGUGAGGUGUUGGGUUAAGUCCCGCAACGAGCGCAACCCCCGCCGCCAGUUGCCAGCAGGUGAAGCUGGGGACUCUGGCGGGACCGCCGGCGACAAGCCGGAGGAAGGUGGGGACGACGUCAAGUCAUCAUGGCCCUUAUGUCCAGGGCUACACACGUGCUACAAUGGCGGGCACAGAGCGCAGCGAGGCCGCGAGGCGGAGCGAAGCGCAGAAAGCCCGUCCCAGUCCGGAUCGGAGUCUGAAACCCGACUCCGUGAAGUUGGAAUCGCUAGUAAUCGCGCAUCAGCACGGCGCGGUGAAUACGUUCCCGGGCCU
RNAcentral lists this ribosomal RNA (1367 nucleotides) under uncultured bacterium. RNAcentral describes it as "bacterial SSU rRNA". It matches the Rfam family "Bacterial small subunit ribosomal RNA", at positions 28 to 1381 of the family's 1533-position model. The record is from RNAcentral.